Long non-coding RNA from Dicentrarchus labrax (European seabass), 1712 nucleotides. RefSeq lists it as uncharacterized. The record is from RefSeq and is a predicted model, not a curated record. NCBI's taxonomy places the organism in Eukaryota, Metazoa, Chordata, Actinopteri, Moronidae. The transcript is spliced from 3 exons.
GUUUAAUGUCUGUUUAACGUCUGUUUAAUGCCUGUUUAAUGCCUGUUUAAUAUCUGUUUAUCUGUUUAAUGUCUGUUUAAUGUCUGUUUAAUGCCUGUUUGAUAUCUGUUUAAUAUCUGUUUAAUGUCUGUUUAACGUCUGUUUAAUGCCUGUUUAAUGCCUGUUUAAUAUCUGUUUAUCUGUUUAAUGUCUGUUUAAUGUCUGUUUAAUGCCUGUUUGAUAUCUGUUUAAUAUCUGUUUAAUGUCUGUCUGAGACGUGUGUAUGGCAGGCAGUAGAAGUUGUGUUGCUACUUUGUAUCAGUUGAUCUGCCGUUUGUGGUUCAGUGUGCGUCCAGAGAAACGUAAGUUAUGUUGUUUAUUUGCUGGAUGUAAUGUCAUUGUUGUAUAUUUUAUCUGUUUAUAUGUCUGCUGGUUGAGAUUAUAUCUGAUGCUACAAUGCAUAUUUCUACUAGUGUUAACAAUUACCUCUGAUGGUGUAAAUGGUCAUUUAUGUUAUAUUUAUUCCACUGACCACUUCCUUUGUUGUCAGUUAAUAUGGGAUAUAUCAUAUAAUGUAUAUUCCUUCUUUAUAUGAUGUUCAUAUAAUUUCAUGCUAAGGAUGAUUAUAUUAUUAUUUAAUUUGUGUGCUAUAGUUAAGCAUAUUGUGACCUGUUAUUGAUGGCUGUUAUUGUUUUGGGUUAUUCCAGAACCACACUGGAUUAAAGCGCCAUAAAUGGAUUGACUGUCUCCUUCCUAAUUUGUAUCCAAGUCUUGGGGGAACUUUAGUGCCUGUCUCCUUCUCCUCUGUGGCUGAAUCAUCCCGUCUUCCUGCCUCACUGGAACUACAUCUCCCACAAUGCCCCGGGGCAGGACCAGGACCAGGCUGAAGGCUACUUGGAGCUGAUUGGUUCUCCUGUUGUGCUGGGUCCCGGUCCUGAGCUGGGAUUGGCUGCUGGUCCUGGAGGAGGGGCGGGGCUUAGCAGAGCAGUUGGAGUCAGAGAGGCUGCUGGUUUACUACAGAACAGAGAAGAAGAGGUUCAGUCGAGGAGAGCGAGACUUCAUGACGAGGAUGACUCGUCCUCUACAGCUCACCUGUCUGCACAUCAACACCCACUGAUCUCACCUGUACACUGACAGGAAGUCAGCAACAGGAAGAGGAGGAGCCAGCUCACCUGCACUUUAGUUUUAAUGUUUAAUGUUGAUAUAAGUUAUUAAAUCUUCUUUUAUUUCACACCACACACUGUUGUCAUGGCAACAUCACUGUCCCUCAUAAACCCGAGUCAGGUAAUAUUAUAAUAAUCAUCAAAAAUAAAUAAUAAAUUACAGAAGCAGCAGGUAUUGAUUUAUUUCAAUAAAACAAUUUAUUAUUAUUAAAAUAAAUAAAUAAUAAAUUAAUUAAACUCUAUUUUAUAUUAUUAUAUCACAGAGCUGCAGUGUGAUAUAAUAACAGAAUAUUAUUUAUUUAUUGAUCUGUGGUUUAUAAUAUGUGUAAUGAUGAUGAACAACCAGCAGGGGGCGUUUCACUGCUGCUGAGCAUCAACGCUCUGCUGCCUAGCAACAGAUGACACAGUGAGCAGCUGCUUUUUAAUUGGCUGACUUAUUAACAUUAAUAAUAAUAUUAAGACACUUUAUUUCUAUAUUUUGUUAUUUUUUGCUUUCAGUAAGUUAUUUUAAAAUAUUUGUGUUGAAUUUAUGAAACAUUAUAAAUAAAGUAAACAAACAGUUUGAUUUUA